This 641-nucleotide ribosomal RNA is filed under the name Streptococcus sanguinis. Its description in RNAcentral is "bacterial SSU rRNA". It matches the Rfam family "Bacterial small subunit ribosomal RNA", at positions 94 to 723 of the family's 1533-position model. Lineage: Bacteria; Bacillati; Bacillota; Bacilli; Lactobacillales; Streptococcaceae. The record is from RNAcentral.
AGUUGCGAACGGGUGAGUAACGCGUAGGUAACCUGCCUGGUAGCGGGGGAUAACUAUUGGAAACGAUAGCUAAUACCGCAUGAUAUUGAUUAUCGCAUGAUAAUUGAUUGAAAGAUGCAAUUGCAUCACUACCAGAUGGACCUGCGUUGUAUUAGCUAGUUGGUGAGGUAACGGCUCACCAAGGCGACGAUACAUAGCCGACCUGAGAGGGUGAUCGGCCACACUGGGACUGAGACACGGCCCAGACUCCUACGGGAGGCAGCAGUAGGGAAUCUUCGGCAAUGGGGGGAACCCUGACCGAGCAACGCCGCGUGAGUGAAGAAGGUUUUCGGAUCGUAAAGCUCUGUUGUAAGAGAAGAACGGGUGUGAGAGUGGAAAGUUCACACUGUGACGGUAUCUUACCAGAAAGGGACGGCUAACUACGUGCCAGCAGCCGCGGUAAUACGUAGGUCCCGAGCGUUGUCCGGAUUUAUUGGGCGUAAAGCGAGCGCAGGCGGUUAGAUAAGUCUGAAGUUAAAGGCUGUGGCUUAACCAUAGUAUGCUUUGGAAACUGUUUAACUUGAGUGCAGAAGGGGAGAGUGGAAUUCCAUGUGUAGCGGUGAAAUGCGUAGAUAUAUGGAGGAACACCGGUGGCGAAAGCG